GACUUUGUAGUGAAAUUCAUGUUGAGUUGCAAGCUCAUCGAUGUACAUUGAGUGUACCUGAGUCU
Molecule: transfer RNA, 65 nt
Filed under: Eudynamys scolopaceus (Asian koel)
Lineage: Eukaryota; Metazoa; Chordata; Aves; Cuculiformes; Cuculidae
Description: tRNA-Cys
Source: RNAcentral